RNAcentral lists this ribosomal RNA (465 nucleotides) under Vreelandella stevensii. RNAcentral describes it as "partial 16S ribosomal RNA". It matches the Rfam family "Bacterial small subunit ribosomal RNA", at positions 338 to 795 of the family's 1533-position model. The record is from RNAcentral. Lineage: Bacteria; Pseudomonadati; Pseudomonadota; Gammaproteobacteria; Oceanospirillales; Halomonadaceae.
CCUACGGGUGGCAGCAGUGGGGAAUAUUGGACAAUGGGGGCAACCCUGAUCCAGCCAUGCCGCGUGUGUGAAGAAGGCCCUCGGGUUGUAAAGCACUUUCAGUGAGGAAGAACGCCUGGUGGUUAAUACCCAUCAGGAAAGACAUCACUCACAGAAGAAGCACCGGCUAACUCCGUGCCAGCAGCUGCGGUAAUACGGAGGGUGCGAGCGUUAAUCGGAAUUACUGGGCGUAAAGCGCGCGUAGGUGGCUUGAUAAGCCGGUUGUGAAAGCCCCGGGCUCAACCUGGGAACGGCAUCCGGAACUGUCAAGCUAGAGUGCAGGAGAGGAAGGUAGAAUUCCCGGUGUAGCGGUGAAAUGCGUAGAGAUCGGGAGGAAUACCAGUGGCGAAGGCGGCCUUCUGGACUGACACUGACACUGAGGUGCGAAAGCGUGGGUAGCAAACAGGAUUAGAUACCCUUGUAGUC